GCGAAGAAGUAUUUCGGUAUGUAAAGCUCUAUCAGCAGGGAAGAAAGACUCGUAAGAGAGAUGACGGUACCUGACUAAGAAGCCCCGGCUAACUACGUGCCAGCAGCCGCGGUAAUACGUAGGGGGCAAGCGUUAUCCGGAUUUACUGGGUGUAAAGGGAGCGCAGACGGUCAAGCAAGUCUGAAGUGAAACCCCACGGCUCAACCGUGGGCUUGCUUUGGAAACUGUUUGACUAGAGUACUGGAGAGGUAAGCGGAAUUCCUAGUGUAGCGGUGAAAUGCGUAGAUAUUAGGAGGAACAUCGGUGGCGAAGGCGGCUUACUGGACAGCAACUGACGUUGAGGCUCGAAGGCGUGGGGAGCAAACAGGAUUAGAUACCCUGGUAGUCCACGCGGUAAACGAUGAAUACUAGGUGUUGG
RNAcentral lists this ribosomal RNA (418 nucleotides) under uncultured Lachnospiraceae bacterium. RNAcentral describes it as "bacterial SSU rRNA". It matches the Rfam family "Bacterial small subunit ribosomal RNA", at positions 405 to 826 of the family's 1533-position model. The record is from RNAcentral. Lineage: Bacteria; Bacillati; Bacillota; Clostridia; Lachnospirales; Lachnospiraceae.